Long non-coding RNA from Phragmites australis (common reed), 1769 nucleotides. RefSeq lists it as uncharacterized. The transcript is spliced from 3 exons. NCBI's taxonomy places the organism in Eukaryota, Viridiplantae, Streptophyta, Magnoliopsida, Poales, Poaceae. The record is from RefSeq and is a predicted model, not a curated record.
GUGGAGUGCGCCAUGUUUGCCACUACUUCCUCAGCAACUCCCUCGCCAUCGAGACCCGAGGACCACGCUCCAUCGAUCUAUUCGUCUGCUUCAACAGGUGCAUGAACACACAGUUGUCUACGAGCAUGAUGAGGAUGACAAGCAGACUACAUCGAGGUUGCUAGUAUGGAGGACGGCAUAAAAUGGUUAGCUUGGGUUGUGGCACAGCCAGCUCGACGAAUGGCGAACAACACAGUUGGACGCCCACCAUGUGUUAGGUAAUAUGAUUAUGUCAAUAGAUUUCCUUCCUUUUGAUUCACCUUCCUUGAGGUAUUGCUGUAAUACAUUAUUUUUAUUACUUUGCAAGUAUCCGAUUACUUUGUAUUGUUUUCAAUUUAAUGAAUAAUAACACUAUGCUGCAACCAUAUGCUACUUAAAAAGCUCCGGCAGAUGUAGGUAUGCUAUCUCAACUUCUCAAGGAUGUACUAUCCUCAUGCGGUCUGCAUUCUGAAUGGACGCCUGCCAUUUCUGAUUUGACGGCAAUGUUCUAUUGGAUUAAUUUCUUAUAUGUCAUUGGGAUAAACUUAUAUCUCAGAUCUGCCAUUAUUAAACCUGAUAUCACUGAGUUAAAUUUGUAUCCCCCUCAAUGCCAUCGCCAGUGGCAGGCGUCCAUUCUGGCCUCAACAUGUUUUUUUUAUCACUUUAUAAGAUCUAUAUAUUGAUAUAUCCUGAUUGCUGAAAUGUCUAUUUGGUUAUCUGUGCCUAUUUUUGUUGAGGUCCUUUUAGUUGUAGGAUGAUAGGUUCCAACACUUAUCCAAAUAUAUACAUAUGUCUUAGCAAAGUUAGCAAAGCAUGCAUAUGCAUAUCCUUUUGCUUGUACUCAACUCAUACCCAACAUAUUUCUACCAUGAUUCACUAUAAUGAAAUGCUGCUUGUACUUGAAUUUAUCAAAUGGAAAUAUUUUAGCAACAGCAGCUGGCCAGUUGAGAACUUUUGAUACUUCUGACAACAAAAAGAUUAAAAAAUUCUCUGGACAUCCGGUGAGUGUCUUUUCUUCUCCCGUCUACUGGUGUUCCUCUUCUGAGACUAGCGUACAUUGUUCUGCCUUUAUUCUUCUGUUUAUGCCCAGCUUUUCGUAAUUCAUACACGCAUAUAUACACAUUAGGUGGCUGUGAGGAGCAUGGUUUUUAGCAAUGAUGGCCAGUAUGUUCUGUCAUCUGGCAUUGGAGAACGCUAUAUUGCCAUCUGGAAAUUGGGUGGUGGUAAAACUCAGAGCUCAAGCCCAUACACGACUACAAAUCAUAUGUUGCUGUUCGUUAGCAGUUAUUUUAGGUUUUACUACAUUUUUGCAUGCAUGGUUUUUUGUUUUGUUUUCAGUAUCAGUCUAUUAAACAGCUCGCUAACUACACUCAAAAUUAUUUUGCUUGUUUAGUUCCUGUGCAAAGAAUUGAAGAUAACAGCAUAUGCAUCGAAGACAUGAUGAGAGAGUUGGUGUCAUUCAUACUCGAGCUUAUCAAAGCACGGAAGGUCAUCCUGGCAUUCCCCCUAAUAUUUUAUCAAAUCUGUUUGGUAGUGGCAGCAUAAAAGUCGACGCUAAUUUACCUAGCAAGAAGAUCCGGGCGCAUCUAUGAUCUCUGAAACCUGGGGAUGCUUGCAAACUUCUGGAAAAAUUAGUAUCUGCAUGGAAAACAAGGUGCUCAAGACUCUAUAAGUAGCAUGUUUGUUCACCCGUGCAUUUUCAUGCUGUGUAUAACCAUGUAUUCCUUCCUAAUUGCUGAUUUAUCUCUCCA